AACCCGGUUGAUCCUGCCGGACCCGACCGCUAUGGGGGUGGGACUAAGCCAUGCAAGUCGCGCGCCCCGGGCAACGGCGGGGCGCGGCGGACGGCUCCGUAAAACGUGGCUAACCUACCCUCGGGACGGGGAUAACCCCGGGAAACUGGGGCUAAUCCCCGAUAGG
Molecule: ribosomal RNA, 166 nt
Rfam family: Archaeal small subunit ribosomal RNA